Molecule: ribosomal RNA, 343 nt
Filed under: Cynomops planirostris (Southern dog-faced bat)
Lineage: Eukaryota; Metazoa; Chordata; Mammalia; Chiroptera; Molossidae
Description: partial 12S ribosomal RNA
Source: RNAcentral
AACCCAAAUUAAUAGACACCCGGCGUAAAGCGUGUUUAAGAAAGGAAAAAAAUCAAAUAAAGAUAAGUAUCAGCUAAGCUGUAAAAAGCCCCAGCUAUCAUAAAAUAAACAACGAAAGUAUCUUUAGAAAAUCUGAACACACGACAGCUAAGACCCAAACUGGGAUUAGAUACCCCACUAUGCUUAGCCAUCAACUUAAAAAGUCUAAUAAACAAGACUACUCGCCAGAGUACUACUAGCAAAAGCUUAAAACUCAAAGGACUUGGCGGUGCUUUAUAUCCAUCUAGAGGAGCCUGUUCUAUAAUCGAUAAACCCCGAUAAACCUCACCAACUCUUGCUAAUU